Molecule: microRNA precursor, 73 nt
Filed under: Plutella xylostella (diamondback moth)
Lineage: Eukaryota; Metazoa; Arthropoda; Insecta; Lepidoptera; Plutellidae
Description: microRNA pxy-mir-8534 precursor
Source: miRBase by way of RNAcentral
GUGCCCAAUGACGGCAUCGGCAGCCUAAUCAUGUGCUAAAAUCCUGAAGUCUGCCGAUGCCGUCAGUGGGACC